CGGACGGGUGAGUAAUGCCUAGGAAUCUGCCUGGUAGUGGGGGACAACGUUUCGAAAGGAACGCUAAUACCGCAUACGUCCUACGGGAGAAAGCAGGGGACCUUCGGGCCUUGCGCUAUCAGAUGAGCCUAGGUCGGAUUAGCUAGUUGGUGAGGUAAUGGCUCACCAAGGCGACGAUCCGUAACUGGCUGAGAGGAUGAUCAGUCACACUGGAACUGAGACACGGUCCAGACUCCUACGGGAGGCAGCAGGC
RNAcentral lists this ribosomal RNA (253 nucleotides) under uncultured Pseudomonas sp. Its description in RNAcentral is "partial 16S ribosomal RNA". It matches the Rfam family "Bacterial small subunit ribosomal RNA", at positions 99 to 354 of the family's 1533-position model. Lineage: Bacteria; Pseudomonadati; Pseudomonadota; Gammaproteobacteria; Pseudomonadales; Pseudomonadaceae. The record is from RNAcentral.